RNAcentral lists this ribosomal RNA (494 nucleotides) under uncultured bacterium. RNAcentral describes it as "partial 16S ribosomal RNA". It matches the Rfam family "Bacterial small subunit ribosomal RNA", at positions 28 to 507 of the family's 1533-position model. The record is from RNAcentral.
GACGAACGCUGGCGGCGUGCUUAACACAUGCAAGUCGAACGGAAAGGCCUGCUUUCCCUUGUGGAUUGCGGGUACUCGAGUGGCGAACGGGUGAGUAACACGUGAGUGAUCUUCCCCCAACUUGGGUAUAAGCCUGGGAAACUGGGUCUAAUUCCCGAUAGGACUGCAGGGUGGUGCCUGUGGUGGAAGACGAUUUUCUAGUGGUUGGGGAUGAGCUCGCGGCCUAUCAGCUUGUUGGUGGGGUAAUGGCCUACCAAGGCGGCGACGGGUAGCCGGCCUGGGAGGGUGGACGGGCACAUUGGGACUGAGAUACGGCCCAGACGCCUACGGGAGGCAGCAGUGGGGAGUAUUGCACGAUGGGCGGAAGCCUGAUGCAGCGACGCCGCGUGGGGGAUGACGGCGUUCGGGUUGUAAACUCCUUUCGACCGAGAGGAAGCCACCUGGUUGGAAGGGUGGUGACGGUAGUGGUAGAAGAAGCACCGGCUAACUACGUG